CCGCGUGCGGCUGAUGACAGCACUCCUGCUGAGACUCUGUGAUUGCUGUGUCUCAAAGUAAACGCCCUGACGCACUGUGG
Small nucleolar RNA from Cercocebus atys (sooty mangabey), 80 nucleotides. Ensembl annotates it as small nucleolar RNA, C/D box 105B. Its record names the gene SNORD105B. NCBI's taxonomy places the organism in Eukaryota, Metazoa, Chordata, Mammalia, Primates, Cercopithecidae. The record is from Ensembl.